Molecule: ribosomal RNA, 497 nt
Filed under: uncultured bacterium
Lineage: Bacteria
Description: partial 16S ribosomal RNA
Rfam family: Bacterial small subunit ribosomal RNA
Source: RNAcentral
GAUGAACGCUGGCGGCGUGCCUAAUACAUGCAAGUCGAGCGAACGGACGAGAAGCUUGCUUCUCUGAUGUUAGCGGCGGACAGGUGAGUAACACGUGGAUAACCCACCUAUAAGACUGGGAUAACUUCGGGAAACCGGAGCUAUUAUAGGAUGAUAUUUUGAACCGCAUGGUUCAAAAUUGAAAGACGGUCUUGUUGUCACUUAUAGAUGGAUCCGCGCUGCAUUAGCUAGUUGGUAAGGUAACGGCUUACCAAGGCAACGAUGCAUAGCCGACCUGAGAGGGUGAUCGGCCACACUGGAACUGAGACACGGUCCAGACUCCUACGGGAGGCAGCAGUAGGGAAUCUUCCGCAAUGGGCGAAAGCCUGACGGAGCAACGCCGCGUGAGUGAUGAAGGUCUUCGGAUCGUAAAACUCUGUUAUUAGGGAAGAACAUAUGUGUAAGUAACUGUGCACAUCUUGACGGUACCUAAUCAGAAAGCCACGGCUAACUACGUG